Molecule: ribosomal RNA, 294 nt
Filed under: uncultured bacterium
Lineage: Bacteria
Description: partial 16S ribosomal RNA
Rfam family: Bacterial small subunit ribosomal RNA
Source: RNAcentral
GGAUUAGAUACCCUGGUAGUCCACGCAGUAAACGUUGUACACUCGGUGUGGCGGAUAUUAAAAUCUGCUGUGCCCAAGCUAACGCAUUAAGUGUACCGCCUGGGAAGUACGGUCGCAAGACUAAAACUCAAAGGAAUUGACGGGGGCCCGCACAAGCGGUGGAGCAUGUGGUUUAAUUCGACGCAACGCGAAGAACCUUACCUGGGUUUGACAUCCUGUGAAUAUCGGGUAAUUCCGAUAGUGCCUUCGGGAGCACAGAGACAGGUGCUGCAUGGCUGUCGUCAGCUCGUGCCG